CAAACUCAUUUCAGUCGUCUCCAGAACGCAAGCUGUAUCAUUGAAAGCUGAUAGCAGAGAGCUUCAACCAGAAAACUGAAACUCAAUUGAGACGACUCAAACGAAUCGAAGCCUUGUACAAAUCAUGGAAAAAACAUCACGCCAGUUGACUGGAAAUCCAAAUCUGAACAUACGAAUAACGUCUUCUGAAAAAUCUAAAAUCACAUAUUUACUGAUUUAAAUAUUUACGGAAGACCACACUCAAACGGUGACUAAUUGUUGCUGCACAACAUCAGACUUUUAUUGUUAAAUUCUGUAACAUUUCCAUUUAAUAUUGGGAGAUUUUUGAAAAUGUGCUCCAUUAAACGUUAAUUGCUUUUGCUUUGAC
This is a long non-coding RNA of Xenia sp. Carnegie-2017, 367 nucleotides long. RefSeq lists it as uncharacterized. The transcript is spliced from 2 exons. NCBI's taxonomy places the organism in Eukaryota, Metazoa, Cnidaria, Anthozoa, Malacalcyonacea, Xeniidae. The record is from RefSeq and is a predicted model, not a curated record.